CAGCAGCCGCGGGAAAACGAAGGGUGCAAGCGUUACUCGGAAUUACUGGGCGUAAAGCGUGCGUAGGUGGUGGUUUAAGUCCGUUGUGAAAGCCCUGGGCUCAACCUGGGAAUUGCAGUGGAUACUGGGUCACUAGAGUGUGGUAGAGGAUAGUGGAAUUUCCGGUGUAGCAGUGAAAUGCGUAGAGAUCGGAGGGAACAUCUGUGGCGAAGGCGACUAUCUGGGCCAACACUGACACUGAGGCACGAAAGCGUGGGGAGCAAACAGGAUUAGAUACCCCCGUAGUCCCUGUCUCUUAUAC
This 301-nucleotide ribosomal RNA is filed under the name uncultured bacterium. RNAcentral's name for it is "partial 16S ribosomal RNA". It matches the Rfam family "Bacterial small subunit ribosomal RNA", at positions 509 to 807 of the family's 1533-position model. The record is from RNAcentral.